This is a non-coding RNA of Pelobates cultripes (western spadefoot toad), 206 nucleotides long. The record is from the annotation of a GenBank genome assembly. NCBI's taxonomy places the organism in Eukaryota, Metazoa, Chordata, Amphibia, Anura, Pelobatidae.
CAGGCAGUUCAAAAUGUCUCUAUCCAGCAAAGGCGACACAUUGGAAGCUCAUCAGCUCAACUCUUGAAAUCCCAUCAUCUAACUGGCUCUUGCCAUCAUAUGCUUAUGACAGCAUUUAUUUCAUAAGAAACUGGAACCAAGGAUUUUAAAUAUUGCAAGCCAUAAUAAGCAAGUUAAAUACAUAAAAAAAAUACAUACAAAAAAAA